UGGUUAUAAUCCCCCCAAGUUUGUCAUCGAUGCAGCAAAGGAUGCCCUAGAUAGGGUCGAGUGCAACCAAUAUGCGCCCACAAAGGGUUCUCCCCGGCUCAGGAAAGCUAUUGCUGCCGCGUACUCGCCAUUUUUUGGUCGAGAACUCAACCCUGAUACAGAAGUGGCAAUCACUACAGGUGCCAAUGAGGGCAUGUUGAGUGCCUUCAUGGGAUUUAUUGAAGAAGG
This 228-nucleotide small RNA is filed under the name Histoplasma capsulatum. Its description in RNAcentral is "hypothetical RNA". Lineage: Eukaryota; Fungi; Ascomycota; Eurotiomycetes; Onygenales; Ajellomycetaceae. The record is from RNAcentral. RNAcentral also lists the same sequence under 1 other name.